Molecule: ribosomal RNA, 409 nt
Filed under: uncultured bacterium
Lineage: Bacteria
Description: bacterial SSU rRNA
Rfam family: Bacterial small subunit ribosomal RNA
Source: RNAcentral
GACGAACGCUGGCGGCGUGCCUAACACAUGCAAGUCGAACGGAACUUACCGAAUGAAGUUUUCGGAUGGAUUUUGAUAAGUUUAGUGGCGGACGGGUGAGUAACGCGUGAGUAACCUGCCUUCAAGAGGGGAAUAACGUUCUGAAAAGAACGCUAAUACCGCAUAACAUACGGAUGUCGCAUGGCAACCGUAUCAAAGAUUUUAUCGCUUGAAGAUGGACUCGCGUCCGAUUAGCCAGUUGGCGGGGUAACGGCCCACCAAAGCGACGAUCGGUAGCCGGACUGAGAGGUUGAACGGCCACAUUGGGACUGAGACACGGCCCAGACUCCUACGGGAGGCAGCAGUGGGGGAUAUUGCGCAAUGGGGGCAACCCUGACGCAGCAACGCCGCGUGAACGAUGAAGGUCUUC